This 78-nucleotide transfer RNA is filed under the name Capnocytophaga canimorsus. RNAcentral's name for it is "tRNA-Lys". It matches the Rfam family "tRNA". Rfam says of the family: Transfer RNA (tRNA) molecules are approximately 80 nucleotides in length. Their secondary structure includes four short double-helical elements and three loops (D, anti-codon, and T loops). Lineage: Bacteria; Pseudomonadati; Bacteroidota; Flavobacteriia; Flavobacteriales; Flavobacteriaceae. The record is from RNAcentral.
GACUUGGUAGCUCAGUUGGUAGAGCACAACACUUUUUAAUGUUGGGGGUCCUGGGUUCGAGCCCCAGCCAGGUCACAA